Molecule: ribosomal RNA, 478 nt
Filed under: uncultured bacterium
Lineage: Bacteria
Description: partial 16S ribosomal RNA
Rfam family: Bacterial small subunit ribosomal RNA
Source: RNAcentral
GACGAACGCUGGCGGCGUGCUUAACACAUGCAAGUCGAACGGGAUUUAGUAAACAGAAACCUCGGUGGAAGAUUACUAAUGAGAGUGGCGAACGGGUGAGUAACGCGUGAGCAACCUGCCUAUGACAGUGGGAUAGCCUCGGGAAACCGGGAUUAAUACCGCAUAAAAUCGUAGAAACACAUGUUUUAACGGUCAAAGAUUUAUCGGUCAUAGAUGGGCUCGCGUCUGAUUAGCUAGUUGGUGAGAUAACAGCCCACCAAGGCGACGAUCAGUAGCCGGUAUGAGAGGAUGAACGGACACAUUGGAACUGAGACACGGUCCAAACUCCUACGGGAGGCAGCAGUGGGGAAUAUUGCACAAUGGGGGAAACCCUGAUGCAGCGACGCCGCGUGAACGAAGAAGGUAUUCGUAUCGUAAAGUUCUGUCCUAUGGGAAGAUAAUGACAGUACCAUAGAAGAAAGCUCCGGCUAAAUACGUG